Molecule: ribosomal RNA, 206 nt
Filed under: uncultured bacterium
Lineage: Bacteria
Description: partial 16S ribosomal RNA
Rfam family: Bacterial small subunit ribosomal RNA
Source: RNAcentral
CGCCUCCCUCCGCCGCCACUCACGACUACCGUACGGACGGCGAGCAGGUGGGAAGUAGUUAGGACAAGUGGGCGCGAACGCCUGACUCCAGCCAUGCCGCGUGAGUGAUGAAGGCCUAGGGUUGUAAAGCUCUUUUGUGCGGGAAGAUAAUGACGGUACCGCAAGAAUAAGCCCCGGCUAACUUCGUGCCAGCAGCCGCGUAAUAC